GACGAACGCUGGCGGCGUGCCUAAUACAUGCAAGUAGAACGCACAGUUUAUACCGUAGCUUGCUACACCAUAGACUGUGAGUUGCGAACGGGUGAGUAACGCGUAGGUAACCUGCCUGGUAGCAGGGGAUAACUAUUGGAAACGAUAGCUAAUACCGCAUAAUAUUAAUUAUUGCAUGAUAAUUAAUUGAAAGGUGCAAUUGCACCACUACCAGAUGGACCUGCGUUGUAUUAGCUAGUAGGUGAGGUAACGGCUCACCUAGGCGACGAUACAUAGCCGACCUGAGAGGGUGAUCGGCCACACUGGGACUGAGACACGGCCCAGACUCCUACGGGAGGCAGCAGUAGGGAAUCUUCGGCAAUGGACGAAAGUCUGACCGAGCAACGCCGCGUGAGUGAAGAAGGUUUUCGGAUCGUAAAGCUCUGUUGUAAGAGAAGAACGGGUGUGAGAGUGGAAAGUUCACACUGUGACGGUAUCUUACCAGAAAGGGACGGCUAACUACGUG
This 505-nucleotide ribosomal RNA is filed under the name uncultured bacterium. RNAcentral's name for it is "partial 16S ribosomal RNA". It matches the Rfam family "Bacterial small subunit ribosomal RNA", at positions 28 to 507 of the family's 1533-position model. The record is from RNAcentral.